This 492-nucleotide ribosomal RNA is filed under the name uncultured bacterium. RNAcentral describes it as "partial 16S ribosomal RNA". It matches the Rfam family "Bacterial small subunit ribosomal RNA", at positions 29 to 507 of the family's 1533-position model. The record is from RNAcentral.
AGUGAACGCUGGCGGUAGGCCUAACACAUGCAAGUCGAACGGCAGCACAGUAAGAGCUUGCUCUUACGGGUGGCGAGUGGCGGACGGGUGAGGAAUACAUCGGAAUCUACUUUUUCGUGGGGGAUAACGUAGGGAAACUUACGCUAAUACCGCAUACGACCUACGGGUGAAAGCAGGGGAUCUUCGGACCUUGCGCGAUUGAAUGAGCCGAUGUCGGAUUAGCUAGUUGGCGGGGUAAAGGCCCACCAAGGCGACGAUCCGUAGCUGGUCUGAGAGGAUGAUCAGCCACACUGGAACUGAGACACGGUCCAGACUCCUACGGGAGGCAGCAGUGGGGAAUAUUGGACAAUGGGCGCAAGCCUGAUCCAGCCAUACCGCGUGGGUGAAGAAGGCCUUCGGGUUGUAAAGCCCUUUUGUUGGCAAAGAAAAGCAGCAGGUUAAUACCCCGCUGUUCUGACGGUACCCAUAGAAUAAGCACCGGCUAACUUCGUG